AUUGAACGCUGGCGGCAGGCUUAACACAUGCAAGUCGAGCGGAGACUUCGGUCUUAGCGGCGAACGGGUGAGUAAUACCUAGGAAUCUGCCUAUUAGUGGGGGAUAACGGCUCGAAAGGGUCGCUAAUACCGCAUACGUCCUACGGGAGAAAGUGGGGGAUCUUCGGACCUCACGCUAAUAGAUGAGCCUAGGCCGGAUUAGCUAGUUGGUAGGGUAAAGGCCUACCAAGGCGACGAUCCGUAGCUGGUCUGAGAGGAUGAUCAGCCACACUGGAACUGAGACACGGUCCAGACUCCUACGGGAGGCAGCAGUGGGGAAUAUUGGACAAUGGGGGCAACCCUGAUCCAGCCAUGCCGCGUGUGUGAAGAAGGCC
Molecule: ribosomal RNA, 374 nt
Filed under: uncultured bacterium
Lineage: Bacteria
Description: bacterial SSU rRNA
Rfam family: Bacterial small subunit ribosomal RNA
Source: RNAcentral